UGUGAGUGAAGAAGGCCUUCGGGUUGUAAAGCUCUGUCAAGUGGGAAAAAAUGCUUUUAGUGAAUAGCUAAGGGAGUUGAUGGUACCACUAGAGGAAGCACCGGCUAACUCCGUGCCAGCAGCCGCGGUAAUACGGAGGGUGCGAGCGUUGUUCGGAAUUACUGGGCGUAAAGGGCGUGUAGGCGGAUAGGCAAGUCAGAUGUGAAAGCCCCGGGCUUAACCUGGGAAGUGCAUUUGAAACUGUCUGUCUUGAGUAUGGGAGGGGAGAGUGGAAUUCCCAGUGUAGAGGUGAAAUUCGUAGAUAUUGGGAGGAACAUCUGUGGCGAAGGCGACUCUCUGGACCAAUACUGACGCUGAGACGCGAAAGCGUGGGGAGCAAACAGGAUUAGAUACCCUGGUAGUCCACGCGGUAAACGAUGAGAACUAGGUGUAGCGGGUAUUGACCCCUGCUGUGCCGCAGUUAACGCAUUAA
Molecule: ribosomal RNA, 472 nt
Filed under: uncultured delta proteobacterium
Lineage: Bacteria; Deltaproteobacteria
Description: bacterial SSU rRNA
Rfam family: Bacterial small subunit ribosomal RNA
Source: RNAcentral